GCCUGAGGCUGGGCAGCGAUGGCGGCGGUGCUCAUCCGGGAGGCCACGGAGGGAGACUGUGGGGAUAUCAUGAAGAUGAUUCGGGAAUUAGCAGAAUUUGAGAAAUUCUUAGAUCAAGUCAAGAUCAGCGAAGGAGCCCUGAAAACUGAUGGCUUUGGUGAAAAUCCUUUUUAUCACUGUCUAGUGGCUGAGAUUCCUCCAGAGUUCAGGGAAUCCCAGGGUAAGAGCUU
Long non-coding RNA from Gracilinanus agilis (Agile Gracile Mouse Opossum), 230 nucleotides. RefSeq lists it as uncharacterized. The record is from RefSeq and is a predicted model, not a curated record. Lineage: Eukaryota; Metazoa; Chordata; Mammalia; Didelphimorphia; Didelphidae. The transcript has 3 exons.